This is a long non-coding RNA of Aptenodytes forsteri (emperor penguin), 1134 nucleotides long. RefSeq lists it as uncharacterized. NCBI's taxonomy places the organism in Eukaryota, Metazoa, Chordata, Aves, Sphenisciformes, Spheniscidae. The transcript has 5 exons. The record is from RefSeq and is a predicted model, not a curated record.
GCAGCUUAGCGGCGGAGCCGAGGCAGGACCCUCUGCCUCUUCACCACCAGCUGACGGUCCCCUCGGGAAGCCGUGUAAGGACAACUUGAGAUGCUCCUACAGCUAACUGUCUUCUGCCCGCCCCGAUCUGUCACUACCUGGAGGAAGGCAACCUCGUGCUUUCGGAGAGCUCCCCGAGGAGCACCUGCAAAACCCCAGUAGUCCUCCAGUGAUGGCAAUCCUAAUCAUCAAAGACCAAAUGGUAUAUUUGUGCUGGUAGGCGACUGAGGGGUUAAUGCAGAAACGCGUUACACCUUGACAGUGCAAAUCUGUUCCAAAAGAAAACGUGAUGUUCAGCGGUAGUUUAAUGAAUUGUUUUGACCAAGUGAAAUACACCAUGUCUACUCCUAGUAAUGAGACACUUGGCAGAAAGUAUCACAUCACACGAACAAUAGCAGCAGACCGUCAUUAUGGUCCACAAAAUGCUGUAACCUCUGAGCAAUCUCUCUUCAAACAAUGGAGGGGACGAUAAGGUCCUGAGAAAACUCACAGAGAGGCUGCCAAGCUAUCAUGAUACAGUGACGUGGACAUAUGUCCAAAACAGCUCCCAUGCAUACUGCUUUGCUGCAUUGCAUAAUAAUUGGAAUGGAUGCGUACUUCUGAUACACAGAAGCUCUUGUUCUGUUGCUUCAAGGAACAAAACCAGGACAAACUACCGCAAGAAGAGUGGCAACAGAAAGACUGAAUUAUGAGAAAUAAAGGCAGAUCACUUCUGGUCAAGGAGCAAACAAAUAUAAUAAAAAUCCAUGACGCACUCAUUUUUGCGUUAAAUCACUGCAGGAUCAUUACAUUUUGGGUAAUUUUACAUAUAUAUACACACACAUAUAUAACUAAAAUUAUAGCAAUAUAUGAUAAGAACUGCUUCAUGGCCUGUCUUGUAGUUCACCAUUGAGGGUUUUAACUGCUUCACUGUACAGCAAUAGCAACUCACAAACAGGAUGUGAUAAUGUGUACCAUAAUCAGGGAGGAAUUUUCCCCAGGAAUUGUCCCCAGACGGUCUGUGGAAAGUUACUACUUGGAACAAGAGCUAAUAUAUAAGCAUGACAUUACCUUUUCUGCCUCAUUGCCCUCUGUAUUCUAAUAAAACAAAAUGAC